RNAcentral lists this long non-coding RNA (413 nucleotides) under Helianthus annuus (common sunflower). The record is from RNAcentral. Lineage: Eukaryota; Viridiplantae; Streptophyta; Magnoliopsida; Asterales; Asteraceae.
GAGAUCCGGCUAGCGAUUGCUUGAUUUCCGCCCCACAAAUGAAAUAAUCUCACGCCGGAUUCAGAUCCGGCUAGCGAUUGCUUGAUCCGGUAAUUUUCACAGUGAUCACGACAAAAUGCACUUACCCCCAUGUGAUGACAGCUGGAGGUUUCAACCCCCUCUAUUCUCUGUCCCUGUCUUCCUGAUGGCCGGAGAGGACGAUAUCCUCCCAAUAUGACUGAAAGUAUUCAAUUAUAUAGGGCAUGUUUGGCUAAGCUUAUUAGAGGUAAAAAGGACUUUUAGGAAAAGGACUUUUGGGAAAAGGACUUUUUGAAAAGGAGUUUUAAAAAAAAGUGUUUGGAUUAGCUUAUUGAUGUAAAAUGACUAAAAUGGGCAUUCUUUUAGAUAUAAGGGGGUAAAGAAGGGUUAUAUUG